Molecule: unclassified non-coding RNA, 217 nt
Filed under: Hevea brasiliensis (rubber tree)
Lineage: Eukaryota; Viridiplantae; Streptophyta; Magnoliopsida; Malpighiales; Euphorbiaceae
Source: RNAcentral
AAAAAACUACUAUGCUAAUGGAACUAGAACCAGAAAUUUUACAGUUAUGCAAACCAUAGACAUAAGUAAUUCAAGAAUGGCGCAUCAGCAAAUCAAUGCUUUAGGCAAGAUCAUAGAAUAAGUACAACAGUUAAUAUGUACAUAUCUCAUUGCUAAAACAAAGACUUAGCACAGAACUGCCUCCCUGCAAGAUGCAAAUAUCUAAUUAUGGAAAACA